This 544-nucleotide long non-coding RNA is filed under the name Androctonus crassicauda. Lineage: Eukaryota; Metazoa; Arthropoda; Arachnida; Scorpiones; Buthidae. The record is from RNAcentral.
ACGUUAUUUUGUCUAACGCCCGAUAUCUGAGGAGAAUGUCGUGACGAAUUCGUUAGACGUUCUACUUUACAUUCCAGACUAUCAAGUCUGCUACAAAUCCUUUUCAACAUUGCCAAUAGUUCAUUCGUAUGACUUGUGCUAGUAUUGUUUUGGAUAAAAUUCUUCUUAUUCUUUCGUGUAGUGCCUGAUAUCUUUUGGAGUGAUGCCUGAUAUAACGACACGUGAGGACGUUCGCUUUCUAUUGUUUGUUCUAGUGUGUUGUCCAUCAUCUCUCGAUGUAGGUCUUUCCCUAAAUUUCUGGCAUUCAGCUAAACGAGGCUUUGGAUGCCAGUUGUAUCGUGGCUGCUCAUACAUAUACGGUGAACCAAACCCAGCCCUGAUCAUGGUGUGGCGGCGGCCUAGUCAGUCUAUAACGCGGCGUCUCUCGUGUUCCCGAUAGGCUUGCCGGUUGUGAUUCUGUCUCACUAACUAAUUUAGGUUCCAACUUGUCGAGCCGGUCGCUAAUUUGCUUAAUCGCAUUCUGCAGACCUUCGGCAUCCUUGUC